GUCAGAGCCUGCGGAGGAAGCCUCCAGGCGCAGACCCAGCCUCUCUCUAGGCUCUUCCUUCCUGGGGGGCCCACAGGGCGGUGCCUUUCACAGGUAGCUGGAAGACCCAGGUGGGCGGUUCAAUCUGUCACGUGGACACGCGGCUCAGCCAAUCAGAAUCCCCCGGCAGUUGAUUCCUGGAGGCUGAAUCAGUUGAACUGACGAAGCCCCAGUCUCAGGGUCAGGUGUCUCCGGGAGUCGGGACUCUUAGGUCUCCCUGGAUAGUCAGGACUCUAGACUGAGCUGUCUUGGCCACUCGGGGCAGUUGGCAGUGUAAUCAUGGUCAGGAAGGUGACCCGUGGUCAGCAGGGUCAGGCCACCCAGGGAAAGUGUGUUCCUGCGCCAGUAAUCAACCCCUGACAGCCUUUGCAUUGUCCAUGAUCUCAGCCUACCACCUCCUCCCCCUGAGGCUGGGCCAUUGCAGUGGCUGACACUGAGGAUGAAGACCAAGACAUCACAGCCUUUCUCCAGCAUCUCUCAGAACAGCACAGAGAAGGACACAGGUCUCAAUCCACAACUGCUGGAGAUGGACCCUGGCCGCAUGGGAUGGACAGACACACCUGCACCGCCCCCCCUUGCCCAGCUAUCUCCAGGUGAAGAUGCUCAGAAGAGGUUUGGGGUCCUGAAGGACAUGUUGCUCCCAUGGUCCUCAUGGGCAGGCGAUUUCUGCUACAUGAGUCAAUUCUGCCAUAUAAAAUACUUAAGUUCAGCCAUUCCAGGGUGCUGUAGGAUGUACAGCUUCCCGUCCAGCCCAACUGAACUCCAGCCAUGCCAUUUAGAUACCAAAAAUAAGGUCACUUGCUUUCCUGCCCUUUAGGGGGCCAGAGCCAGGGAAGCAAAAUGGCACUUCUGUUUACCUGUUAUAUUAUUUUUUGUAAUCCUCAUAUGUUUGAAAAAACAAUUAUAUGAAAAAGUUCAGUAAUUGCAAACAUAAAAGCAGAAAGCCCUCAGGAACCAAGAUUACUCUCUCAGGACUCGUUCUGCUUCACCUGGGACUCUGCUGCGCCCCAGGCAUCAUGUGGACAGAAUCACAGAGGGACCAUCAAGGAGUGCCUUCCCAAAGGACGGACCUCAAGUGACUGCUGUCCGAGCAAACGGUAAUGGCCACUCUGCCGGGAGAGAGGAGUAAACAGAGGGCUGGCCCAGGAGACCUGCACACUGUGCUACCGAUACUUGUCCGUCUUUAGCCUCUAAUUUAAAAAUGAGGAACACAGAGAUAGAGAGUACCUUCAAGGGUUAGCAUGGGCCGUAGAAAUGCCCUGAGCCUUUCACUCUCUCCUUUUGCAAAUUCCCAUGUUUGGAUAAUGAAGGGAGCCUGAAGGAGGUAGAUACACGAGCAGCCCCAACAGGGCUGGCUCCAUCUUCCAAAAAUGGGGACCCAUGUCCAGUGUGUGGCUUUACUGAUUCAGUGUCCAAUUGACAGGGAGAUACUGAGUGUCCAGAUGCCCAGUGCCUCCUACCUGGAACAGAGCAGGUCCGGGCUCUCCCUUGGAAAAAUCCCAUGCAAACUUGGUUAUUCAGGGAGUUUCUUCAGCAGAGCUCGCCUCUGUGGCCAACCUGGUCUUGCUGCUCAUAUUUGCCAGAAAAGCCUGGACUUGGAGAGAAACCUGUGAUGUGGACUCAGUCCUUGCCAGCCUGGCUGGUUUCAUUUCCUUAGUUCUCUCUGCGAAAGCCUAUGCUCCUGAGAAGCGACUCAGAGGGGGCAUCUGAGCACAGGGUGGGGAGCCUCGGAUGGGAAGACAUCAAAGGAACCAGAAUGUAUCAGAGAAUAUGGAGUCAGGUGCCUGAGCUCAAAGGCCCACCUGGCCACAGGCUGGCUGUGUGAUCUUGGGCAAGUUCAGCCAGCUUCUUUGUGCCUCUUUUCUCUCCUUAAUAAGAUAAAUGGCUUCACUAAUAUGCUGAAGGCUGCCAUUAAGUUCUAUGUGCCAAGAUCCAAGGGACACCCUGGGCCUCUCGGUGAGCACUACUCCUUACAGUUUACUUCCAGGAGCAACAUUGGGAGAGAACUCCUCAGAGCCUUGGCAGUCCUUUUCCUCCUGGUCCCUCUGUUUUGAGGGUGGAAUGAGGUGAAGAGCAAGUGCUUUCCCAGCUGGUCAGGUGCUCUGGACAUGUUCUAAUCCCCCAAGAGUGUACAGAUCAGAGUUCGAUAUGGCCGAUGGGUCCAAUGCCCAAGUGAGAAUCUCUUGAUGAAGUUAUUGGUGUGGGGUUUUGCUUUGGUUCUUAAUUAUAGAGAACAAAAGUAUUGAAAUUAUUACAUUUACCCUAAAGUUGUAAGCAAGUGAUGGUUAACUAAGGAAGGAGACCCAUCCUCGAACACAAGUUCCAUUCUUACCUAUCUCAUUUAAAAGAGAGAAAGGCCUCGCAGAUGGAAGAUGAUGGGAGUAGACGGGGAUUCAGCCAAUUUCAGUGUUUGGCCCCAGGAAGUGAAUUUGGGUUUGAGGACCUCUCUCUGGAAAGGUUUUAUGACCAGAUCUUCCUGGAGAUGACAUAAGUUUUUCUCACCACAUAUUUAUUUUGCUGGGGUUCAUCUUCUGCCUCCUUUUCUCUUUAACUCCAGCUGACUUUGGACUCAGUGCAGGUUGCUCACAGGGUCCUGCAAAGCAACUGUCUUCCCAGAUCUCACCCACCUCUGAGCUCCUGCUGUAUUCCUCUUUCUCAUUUUUUUCUGAGCUGAAACCUACUACUUUGGAUGAUGCAUGCUGGUGUUUUCAAAAGGGCCUUGUUUCAAACAUGGAGAGCCCACGUCUGUGUCUUUAAAAAGCUGAUUGAUUGUGUCUUUAAUAAUCUGAUAAUAAUUUAGCUUCUUCUUGAAUUUUGUGGCAUAUUUUUAGGCUUCUGCUAAACCCAUUUUUGAGGGCCAUGACAUUGUUCAUGGAUGGAGUUGUGUCAGUAGAGACAAAAUGCUAUCGUGGAGGCUCCCGUAAAACUUCAACCAAAUCUGGUCCAGGUCUUAGGCUCUGACAGGUUCUGCUGUCAUCGGAUCUCAGUGAGACCUUUGUCCCCAUUUCCUCCCUUUGUGAUUCCUCCACGGACAUCUCCCUCCAUCUGUUUGAGAAUUUCUCAGCGAUAUUCCUUGCUUGCUUUCUCUCACUCCAUCUCAUUUCCUGCUGUUCACUCGGGAAUAAAGAAAUGUCCCACACUUGAAAGAGCAAAAACAAAAAUUGGAGCUCAGAGAGGGUGGACUUGUCAAGAUCACACAGAGUUGGGAGUGUGGUAAGCCCUUGAAAUGGGGGCUCAGUGACACUGCUGCCUCCCAGGGAUUCCUAACAUCUGAGGGUCCCAGUGAGCUGGGAUGAACUCAGGACCCAAGAAGCACUGUUUGACCCUGUCACCUCCAAACCCCACCCAGUGCACAUGGCCUGAGGCUUCCAUGAUGGUAAAGAAACCUCACCUGCCUUCUUUCCCAUUAUUGCUGUGUCCCCUCUGCUAUUCAGUGCGAAAUGUCCAGACGUGAUCAAUAGAAUCAGAGAAAAAUUGAGCCCUGAGGAGAGGGGGCCAGACUCUGGGAGUUGAGAGAUUGAAGUCAGACGAGGGGCUGUUGAGCAAUGAGAUCAGAGCCUUCAAAUGUUGGGAGCUUGGCAGCAGUGCCCAGGGGAAUGGGGGGGGUGGUAUUUGGGUCCAAGUUUAUGUUGGGAAGAAUAUAAGCUUGAUUUGGAGACUCCUGAUGUUCAUGUGUCCCCAUCAAGCAGAGUUAGGAGUUGCCAGAGGAAAGAUUGGUGCUAGAAGUUCAUGUGCGAACAGGGCAGACCCCUGCACGAAGGUGGGCUCUCUCUGUUUGAAACAAGGCCCGCACACUGUGGCAGGGACACUCCCAAGGAAAUCAGACAUGUAUUUCAUCAGGGCUUUAACGCAACAUAUGAACGAGAAUCUCAUUUACUCUGUUAUGAGAUGCUAUACACCUGGAAUAGUUUAACUGGCAAAUUAUUACCAAAUCGUUCAAAAAAUUGCCAAUGCAGCAAUCAUACAAGGCUCAGGUAACAGAGUGGGUGGCCAUCACUCUGGGAGAGGGACAUAGCACCAGAGAAGGUCCUUGUGACUCAGAUCAAAGAGAACAAAUGGCAAAGAAGGGGAACAGUUGCUGUUUUCUGAAGUAAAGCCUCUUAGGUGUUAUAUGACCGUUUGUUACCUGUGAAUGUGUAACUUUGAUUUUUAAAAUAAAUUAAAAAGAGCCUCUUAACACCACCCAAUUUCUGAGCCCCAAAGAUGGUGUUCUGGUGUCUUGCAGGAGGUUCUGGUCCCAUCCGCCUGCUCCCUUCUAGGACAACCCCACCAGCAAGGAGGUCUUCUAGUUCUUUCUGUGUGUGUUCACCUGCUACUCCUGGCUGGGGCCCUAGGUUGCCCAGGAAUCUCUGAGUUCUCUCAGCUGCACUUCCAUCUGUGGUGCCCAACCUCAGUGCCUAGGACUCUGUGUACCUGACUUCCUCCAGGCAGGGCUGCUACCCCCAGGUGUCCACCUGGUACGGGCCUCCCAUGGCAGCUCUCCUCUGAUGACCAGGUGUGAAGGGGAUGCUAAGGCCAACUUGCUGCUGGCACACCCGGACCUUCUUUGCUGGCUGUUUCAAAGACCCCCUAAAGGCUCCAUGGAUUUUCCUUAGAAUAUAGUCCUGAACAGUCCCACCCAUCCUCUUCCUCCCUCUUUCCCACUAGGGCUGAUACUUGCUUUAAGGUCUGAUGGCUCACCCAGUCCUUCAUAAUUUUCACAAUGUUCCUUUCUAAAACGCUUGCAGGCUAAUCUGCUCUUGGCAACUGCUCCUCAGAGGAGGUGAAUAACAGACUCCAGCCCUUCUUCUCUCAGGCCCUGCUGCCCCUGUGGUGAGGUUGCCUGUUACAGACCAUAGAGCCAGCCUGACCUUGCCCAAAGGAUACAUGACUUCUUAGCAAGGCUGGGCCCUGCUAAGGGCUGUGUUUUGUGCACGUUCCUGCUAGUCACAUCCAGCAGAGCUGGUCUACCACUCGGAUGGCAACAGUAGAUUGGGGACCACUGUUGUCAUGGCAGGAGUGGACCAGGUGGCCGUCCUGUCUUCAGUCAUCAUGGAAACCCCAGCUAUGCAGCACUAGCAGGUGUUUUAGAUGUGCAGGCUGCUGGGCUGGCCUCUACUGCCUUCUGGCAUCAUGUUGGCAGCAGCUGUCUCAGGAAGGCACCCUGACUCUGGGUUCAAGAGCUUGCUGGGCUUCUACAUGAAGGUGUGAAGUGCGAAUGUCACCUUUUCUGACUUAACAUUUUUGUUUUCUGCUACAAACUUGGGAUAUUUUCUGAGGGAUGCUGAAGAGAUGGGGGUAGGUCGGGGAGGGAGGCAGGAAUUAGAAGGUGUCCUCCUGGGGCUACCCUUCGGCCUGGGGCAUCUGAUGGAUGAGGAGGGGAGAAUCAUUGAAAUCCUGUUUAUGAGGGCACCACAAUGACCUCAUGUUUUUGCAAAUUCUAGUGGAGAGGCUUCACUAGGUUGGGGGAGAAGCCUAAGAAUUAAGUCCCUGUCUCCUGCCACAGUUGACAGCAGUGAGGCUCCCUGGCUGAGCGUACACCCCCAGGUGGAGCACAAACAGCUUUUAACAACGGCACCGUCAUUAGCACCAAUGGCAUUGAGAGGAGGUGGCGCUGACACCCUGAGCAGGUGGCUGCCUUACUGCUCCCCGGAGAGCUUUGGCUCCAUCACUGGUGCCCACCUCAGGAAUUCCCAGGAACUACUCUUCACUGGUACACUCGGAUGCCCACCCUGCAAGGCCAGUUUGUCCCCUUCCUGUACCUCUGCAAUCACUUUGAGGCAGGAGGAGAGGGAAUUAGAGUAACCAAUGGUUAAGACGUAAGCGAAAGAACAGCAGGUGCAGCCAGUGCUAGACAACAUGUAGGCCACAUCCUGACUCCUAUUAUAGCAAGACAGACGUUUCCACUUCAGUCUCCCGACUCAUUGCGGGCCAGGCCCUCCUAGGGUGUUACCAGCUGGAGGCCUCUCAAGGGCACCCCGGGGUGUUAAAUUGUUUUAUUAAUAACUUAAUAAAACCCCCAAAGAACAUUGUGAUCAGGGCUUUUGAGCCCUUUGCUUGAGCCCACCUCCACUCUGUGGACUGUACUUCGGCUUCAGUGUGAGCUUCCGCUGCCUCAUUCUGCUGCUGCGUUGUUUGUGCACAAGCAGUGUGUGCUUCUGUUGCUUCUUUCAUUGCUUUGUUCUUUUGUUGCUUUGCUUACGUGUUUUGUUCCAUUCUUUGUUCAAUGCCCCGUGAACCUGGACAACUCAGAGUCAAGACUCUUUCCCUCAUGACACUUUGUUAUCCGAGCAUCUGCAAAUCCAUCUGUCUUCUGCAUGUGCCUUUCAAUGUGACAAAUCUAUAGACCUCGAAGGAGAAAAACCAGGGUAAGACUCCAUUCCUUAAUGAGCUCACAGUUCACUGGCUGAGACAGAAGGAAGCCACUGACUCUGAAAGGAAACCGAGUGCAGCAAAGAAGGGGUAGAGGGGCAAGCACAGAUGGGAUCAAGAGAAGGGGGAGACAAACCAUUGUCAUUAGUGUACCCUUUCUGGGAAGCAACGUGUGCGAUGAGCUUUGAAGAAGAAAUGAGUAAGCUGGGCGUCGUGGCUCACUCCUGUAAUUCCAGCAUUUCUGGGAGGCCAAAGCAGGUGGACAGCUUGAGUCCAGGAAUUUGAGACCAGCCUGGACAACAUGGUGAAACUCCGUCUGUACUGAAAAUGCAACAAGUUAGCCAGGUGUGGUGGCACGCAUGUGUGGUUCCAGCUACUCAGGAGGCUGAGGUGGGAGAAUCACCUGAGCCUGGGAGGUCAAGGCUGCAGUGAGCUGAGAUCACGACAUUGCACUCCAGCCUGGGUAACUGGAGUGAGACCCUGUCUCAAAAAAACAUACAGACAUACAUAACAUAUGGGGAAGAGACUUCCAGAGCGGUAUGGAGAGGCCAAUGCCCCUCCUCCUCCCUGUUGCCCCUCCUCCUGGAGCUGUUCGCUUCUCCCCUCUCUCCGUGCUUGGGACAGCCACAGCAACUCUCCAAAUCAUGAAACUCAAAAUGCCACUUCUAAAAAACAUCAGGGUUGGUGCCUCCGCUUCUUCUGACUCGACCUCCCUUCUCUGUCCAAUGCAGUUCUUUCCACUCAUCCAACCUCCACACUCCCUUGACAGAAGAAAAACCUGCAUCUCUGAAACCCAUGUCUGCUUGCGUAUGACCUACUUUGUGAGUCAACAAGGUGAACCUAUUCCUCAUAUUUCAUUAUCCAAUGAUUAAAAAGUCUAAAACAGACUCUGCCCCUGAGAAAGUAAUUUCAUGCACCUACAAAGAGAAAGGAAAGGACAUUCACCGUUUGACGACUGAGUUUCCAUCUGCACCCUUCAGCACUUACUAGAACUCAUUCAAAACAGUGUAACAACUCUUAUUCCUAUCAAACAAAAUAGAACUUUUUUCCUUGUAUCUAAAGAAGUUUGCACCUUUGACACAGAAUAAGGAGAUCUACUGUUCCAACAGUUACUGUGUAUAUCACCGACCAUAUUAGUCACGCCUCGAAAUCCAUCACAGAUCCACCAAAUAUUCUGUCGCCUGAAGACAGAAUUAUAAAAUUAAACUCCAACAACAUGUAUAUACAACAAAUGAAUGGAGAGAAAAAGAAAAAUGGUGAGCAUAUAAUAUUAUGUGUACAUAUUACAAGGAAAAAUAUGCAAAACUACUACCAUACUUGUUUCUGUAAUUUGCCAUGAGGCUGUGACACCUUUCAAAAUAUAUAAAUUUUUUUUAACAUUUAAAAAAAUUAUUUUAAAAAUAUAUUGUUUUCACUACACUUCUUUCAUUUUGCGGAAUCAGGCCAUGAUGGUACAAUGGUUUUCUUGUUCUAUUACCCAGUCCAUAUUUUCCCUGUCCUCACUCAGAACCUCAAUUUGUCUCAGGUCUUUAUCUAAUACGAGUGACCUAAAGCACCAAAGUCCAGUCCUGAAGACAGGAUUUUCUGGGGCCUAUACAGGGUUUGAGCAACCGAGGCCUGCUGAGUGAGCCCUUUCUAGGCACCGAGGGAAAUGCCUUCAGGCUAAGGAGGAGGGAAAAAUCUAACCAAAGAUUCAAACCAUAGGAUGCUGUGGGCAUGGCUCCAAUGCCAGGUGAUUCCCGAAGAGGAGAUACUGCUAAGGUCCCAUGAGGGAAAUUCUUUUGUUAUCGGGCCACAAGAGAGCAAACACAAGUUCUGAACAGCAUCAGGAGAAGAUGCCUGAGCAGCUUUGCUGCCGACUGUGAAGAAAGUGGAGGACCAGAAAGGCCUCAGUCUCCAUGCUGAAGUCUGUGCUGUGAGGACAGGGGUGUGUCUAAUGCACCAAACUCCACCUUCUACCCUGACCUCAAGCUCUUCAAGAAUAACUGCAUCGGGGCAGAGGCUGAGGAACUUCUGUCCAUAAUAAAACCCAAGGCCUUUUAUGCCCUGCAAGGUGUGUUAGGGACUUGACGCCAACCAAGUUUGCCAAACAUUUCAAUUCUUCUGUAUACAGGAGCACAAGUCAUAGAGGUACCAAGAAAUGCCCAUGCCCAUUUUGAAAAGCUACUUUAAGUGGAUUUGGAAGUAACUCUGGACAGUGGGCUGAUGUAUCUUUGUGGGCGGGCCCUUUGGUGCCAAUACACACUGGAGUGGCUGCAAUAAUUCUGAAUGUACUGUGGGAAUAGAUGUAGGGUGUGUAUGCAAUACUAUGUUUAACUGUAAAGGACAUUCCCUGUAAGAAAAUACCCAAAGUAGAACAAUGAAGAGGCACAAGUACAUAAGCAGGAGUGACAGCACGUGUUGUUCCAUGCCGACAUCCCUAUCCUGGGGUAGGUCAGAAAUGAGAACCCUAACAAAGUGGGUACUGUCUGACGAGCAUCCACUACUAAUGGAAGUGUCACCUCCGGGAAAGAAGCAAACUAGACAUGAAUGGCAUCUCACAGCUACAUGGAAAGGUGCCUAAUCACCUUCCCAAUGUGGCUGUCUCAGACACGGGAUCUGUGCCAGCAACUUGGACUUCUUGGGGACUGUGGUGCACUGAAGUUUUGGAGGAUCCUGGGCUGGGUUCACAGAUGGGUCAGCUAAGUUCAAGGCCAGUGGGGGAUAUUGUGCUGCUGCUGUGGGUACCCAAAGGAAAUUGCUCGAAACUGCAUGGAAAAGGGAACUCUGAUCAGUGGGCGGAGUUGCAGGCCAACACUUGCCCUAGAAACACGCCCCAGAAAUGCACCUUGUUACAGGUCACCGACUCGGGGGCAGUCAACAGUGGAAUUGGCAGUGUGGUCUGGUGCUGGUGAUGAGACGACUGGAUGAUCACGUUGAAGCUUCUAUGAGGACAAAUGUUCUGGUGCAGAUUGCACAAGAUCCUAACCCCUGGUUUGUGACUCAUGUGGAUGCCAGGAAAAAAGGACAUCCCUUCAAUAAUAGACAUCCCUGAAAUCCACAAGCCAAUAAGGAGACCUGUACUGCCCUGGUGCCAGGAGCCAUGAAAAGAUGGAAUGGGCUGCCCAUAAGGAGAAACGGAGAGAGGUAACAGUGAAGGCUGUGCACCGAGGAAAGCAUACUCAUCAUGAAGGCACUUUGGGCCCUAAAUGUGGCAAUUCCCUGAAGUGGUACCUUCUGUUAUAUUUAAAUAGAAUGUUGGACAGGUUGGUGAGCAGAGGAGGCCCAGACAGCCUAUAAAAUUCCUAAACCACAUAAGUAACACUUCUUGCACUAUCUCCUAUGUGUACUUCUGAGCUGCUGGAAUUUCAGAGUAGCAAAAAUGAGCCAGAGAAUAGGUGACUCGAAUAUGGUACAUCUUUUGCUGUCUGGCUAUGCUUACUGAAUUUAGGCAGUUGUGGACGUUGUUGACAAUGCUCAUAAAUACGAGGCGACAAUUCCUAAGGUAGUCCUGGUGGCCCACAGUGCAUCAGUGGGUGAAAGAGGGUUUUUAGGGUGCUCCACAGUGUAUAAGGAAGAAAUUCCUGAGUCACUUAGGAGUGAGUCGGAAUGCGGUAUUGUCUAGACGUGGAAAGAACUGCAAACACAGUGAAGUGACUGCUUCAAGGACCAGUCAUACUCAGCACUUGGCUGUGGAAAAACAAGAGUAACCCCGGCUGGUGUGAGGAGAGAGCCUCUUGGGCCCUGGGUGUCAGCGGUAGAGGGAGCUGUCUGCAGGCCAUCUGGACAAUUUAUCUCAGAGUGCCACCACCACCCUCCACUGCUGGCCAGCAUAGAAUCUUCAUCAGAAACCUCCUGAUAGCCCUUGACACCAGGAAGUAGCUUCCAGUGAAAUGAAAGAACAAGAUGAACUUUGCAGACACUCAUAUUGUUAGGCUUUUUAAUAUGCUUGUCACUGACUGUUCUAAACUCUAUAGCAUGAGUGACAAUGGGCAGACAUAUUGCCCUGGACUUCCUGCUGGCCAGUCAGGGAGGUGUGGGAAGUGUGUGGUUGGUAACGCCUCAUGCUGCACCUGGGUUAAUGACACAAUUCACUGGCUUAACUCCAGAUGUGGCACCCAGCUGUGGUCUGAUCGAACUAAUGGGAGUAAUAGCGUGAUCACUUCAUCUAAUGUCGCCCUAGACAAACAGAACAAAUUUGGUCUGAUACCUUUACAGUUACUUACAGAAUAUAAUGAUGGCGGCCUAUGCUACCAAGAAUUCUUCACUGGAUAUGUGAACGGUCAGGAGGUGGGGCAUGAAGUUGUAGUGGAAUGCCUCCACCCUGCCCCCUGACGACCUUGCACAUAUCCACACAGCCUUCCAGGCAAAGGUAUGAGUCACAGGUAAUCUGACUCUUGGCAGAACACCUUGUUAUCCUCCAGGAACAUAAGAGGAAGAGUCCUAUGAGGAGCUGCUGUAAGGCCAUUUUCCACUCCUGUAUAUCUGCUAAAAGGCUGCUAUUGCCUCUGGGUUCUGAUGAAGUAUGAGGCUUUCUGCCCCACCCUCCUCAGAAUAGAGCUGCAGAAUAUAAAACUGGUUAGCUGCAGUCUAGAACUGGAUCCUCAGCAGUGGGUACCCCCAACUUGUCUUGCGGUCAUCUGGCUCUUUUCAUUUCAGUUUCAUGUGUGUGUAUGUGGGUGUGUGUAGGGGUGUGGUUAAGGGACAAGAGCCACAGGGAGCUGUCACCUUUGGCUCUUCUUCCUUUCAGUGUCUAUGCACAUGCUAAACAGCAAAUCAACUACAGCUUUUUCUUCUUAACUGGUCAAAUCCGUCAUGCUUUGCCCUUUUUUGUACACUUGACAAGUUAAAGUUCUUGCACCUUCCCCUCCCUACCAAGAAUAAACCAGAAGCGAAGAAACUGUAUCAGUGAAUGCCACAAUCAAAGACUCAAAAGAGGGGGCAAUACCUAUCACAUCCCCAUUUAAUGUACCAGUUUGGCUUGUUUAGGAGUCAAAUGAAUUUUGGAGCGAGGCUGUGGGUUUUCACGAAGUAAAUCAGGUAGACACUCUCAUUGCAAUUGCAGGCUCAGAUCUAACAGCUUUCCUGGAGCAAAUCAACACAGCCCUUGAAAGCUGGCAUGCAGCUACUGACCCAGCUAAAGCUGGUUUUCUUCAUACCAACUUUCUAGGACCACCAGAAAUAGUUUGCUGUUACCUGGUAGUGCUAACAGUAUACCUUCACAGCAUUGCCACAGGGUAGCUCCAUUCUGUUCUCUGCCAUGACAUGAUCUGUAGAAAUACUGAGUGUCUUGACAUUCCACAAAACAUAAUACUGGUCCACGUUGAUGGCAUUAUGCUGAUCGGAUUUGAUGAGCAGGAAAUUACAAGUAUUUUAGAUGUCUUAAUAAGACAUAUGUGAACCACAUUGAGGGAGGUAAUACCCACACGGAAUUCAGAGGCUGGUCACCUCGGUGAAGGUUCGGGAUUCAAUAGUCUGGAGCACAUAGAAAUAUCUCCUCCAAGGCAAAAGACCAACUUCUGCAUUUUGUACUACCUACCACAAAGAGGCACAACUGUUGAGAAGCCUUUGGGAUUUUAGAGGCAACAUGUAUCACCUUUGUGAAUCUACAGGGAUACUUGUAAGGCUCCCAGUUUCACGUGGGACCUGGGACAGAGAAACCUCUGCUGUCAAUUCAGGCUAUAUAGUACAAGCUGCUCCAUCAUUGGUCCUUCUGACUCAACAGACCCAGUGAUACUUUAAGUGUGGCAAAGAGUUGAUGUAUGGAGCUUCUCACAAGUAUGAAUAGGAAAAUGGCGCCUGUAGAAUUUUUGAAUAAAAUCCAUGUCUUCUUCUACAGAUAACUAUUCUCUUUUUGAAAACAGUUUCUGUGUUGCUACCACGCCUUGGUAGAUACUGAGUGGCUAAUGCUGCCCAUCACAAACUCACCUUGCCAACAGGCCAGGCAUGUGCAAUCAUCAAAUGGACAUGGUAUAUAAGAGAUCAAGUUUGAGUAGGUCUGGAAGAUAUGAGUAGAUUUCAUGAACAGGCACUUCAGACUCCUUUGACACAAACUCCUAUUGCAUUGUGUCUGACCUUCCCCGUGCCUGUGACCUCAUGAAGUGCUCCUUAUGACUAGUUUACUGCGGAAAACACUUGGACCUGGUUACAGCUGAACCUGUGCAAUAAGCUGGUCAUACACAAAAAUGAACAGUCUCAGCAUUACAGGGUGAUCCAGAAGAACGAUGGAGUUGCCUUCCUUGCCUGUAAUUGCACUCCAGCCUGGGUAACGAGAGCAAGACUGUCUCAGGGAAAAAAAAAAAAAAAAGGUAACCCAAAUGCGCUGGAUAUGACCAGCAGGAGCAUGGAGAAACGCAGUUAUUAGCGGGGUCAGGGCUUGUGAAGCAGCAGCCUGCGGUGUGGACAAGAUCAGGCUGGCUCUGUGGUCACCCACAGUCAAAACCACCCAGGGGCUGCAAGGACGGGGAGAAGGGUUGGAGUCUGUUAUCCAGCUCCUCUGAGAAGCAGACACCAAGACGGGAUUAAAUUGCAAGGGUUUAGUGGGGAACAUACCUUUGUGAAAAGAGUUACAAAAGACUGGGAGAGCCACCAGACCAUGAAGCAAGUCUCACUGCCAAUGUGAGGGAUAGAGGGGAAGAGGCGGGGUUGGAGCGCUCUCGACUGCAGUUCAGAGGAAAAUCCACAGAGCCUUUACUGUCUUUGAAACAGUCAGCAAAGAAGGCCUGCAUAUCCCAGCAACCAGCCUGGCCUCAGCACCCCCACUGCACUUGGUCAUUAGAGGAGAGCUGCUGCAGGAGGCCUGGCGUGACUCACUACAAUGUGGAUACCUGCGAGGAGCCACGCUCCCUCCAGGAGGUCAGCCUCAGGGUCCUGGGCACUGAGGUUGGGGACCAUGGAUGGAAGCGUAGCUGAGAAAACCCAGAGGUUCCUACACCCCAGAAGCCCAUGCCAGGACCAGGAAGAGAACACUCACAGAAAGAACUAGAAGACCUCCUUGCUGGUGGGGUUGUCUUAGAAGGGAGGAGGUCAGUGGGACUGGAACCUCCUCCAAGACACCAGAACACCAUCUGUGGAGCUCAGAGAUGGGUGGUAUCAGGAAAGAGGCUGUUUUCUAUUUACUUUUUAAAUCAAAGUUAUAUAUUCACAGGGAACAAACAAGUGGUUAAAAAACACCUUGGCCGGGCGCGGUGGCUCACGCCUAUAAUCCCAGCACUUUGGGAGGCCGAGGCGGGUGGAUCACCUGGGGUCAGGAGUUCAAGACCAGCCUGGCCAACAUGGUGAAAUCACAUCUCUACUAAAAAUAUAAAAAUUAGCUGGGCGUGGUGGCACGUGCCUAUAAUCCAAGCUACUCGGGAGGUUGAGACAGGAGAAUCACUUGAACCUGGAAGGCAGGGGUUGCAGUGAGCUGAGAUCGUGCCACUGCACUCCAGUCUGGGUGACAAGAAUGAAACUCCAUCUCAAAAAAACAAACAAAAAUACCUAAGAGUCUUUGCUCAGAACACAGCAACUCUGUCCCCUUUUCCUGUCUCUGAGCUGAGUCGCAGAGCUUCUCCUGUGCUGUCUCCUUCUCCCAGGUGACAGUGACCCCCUCUGUUCCCUGAGCCCUCACGGCUAUGCAGGAUUGCUGCCUUGGUAAUUUGUCACAACAAUUGGGUGAUACUUUGACUCUUAACUUAGUUUUCCACAUGUGUAGCAUCUCACAGAAGAUUAAAUGAGAUUUUAACUCAUGGGGCUGAUUUUCUCCAGAAUUGGUAUUUAUGUUAAAACCCUGAUAAAACACAUGUUUGAGCUCCUUGGUGCUGUCCCACCUCAGUGUUAGGGCCUCUAUUCAAAUACCUGCAGUGCCUGGGAGACCCCACAUUUAUCCAAGUGUCUGCCCUGUUCUCAGAUGAGCGUGUAGCACCAAUCUUCCCUCCAAUGGCUCCCAGCUUUACUUGUUGGGGACAUAGGAAUCUCCAAACCAUGCUUAUAUUCUUCCCAACAUAAACUUGGACCUCAGUCCCCCAACUUCACACUGCUGUUGAGUGUCGAGCUCCUCUUUUUUUUUUUUUUUUUUUGAGAUGGAUUCUCACUCUGUUGCCCAGGCUGGAGUGCAGGGGUAUGAUCUCAGCUCACUGCAACCUCUGCCUGCUGGGUUUAAGCAAUUCUCCUGCCUCAGCCUCCUGAAUAGCUGGGACUACAGGCGCAUACCACCACAGCAGGCUAGUUUUUUGUAUUUUAGUAGAGAUGGGGUUUCACUGUGUUGCCCAGGCUGGUCUUGAACUCCUGAGAUCAGGCAAUCCACCUGCCUCAGCCAGUUUGAAGCCCCUGCAUUCAGAGCUGCAGUCCCUAGUUUGACUCCAGUCCCUCUCCUCCCAGAGUCUGGUCCUCCCCUCAGGGCUCCAUUUCCCUUUGAUUCUAUCAACCACAUCUGCACAGUUAGCAAGAAUAAGACAAGAGGGGAUUCAGCAGUAACGGAAGAGGCAGCAGGGGAGGUUGAUUUAUGUGGGAAGUAGAAAAGUUCCUUUUUAAAGUUUCCUUUCUUGUUAAAGAAUAAGUGUGCUAAUAACUUUAUUAAGCCCUAUCCUAUGUAGCUGUUAGACAUACCAUGCUUACAGACACAUAGUACAUUCUAUGUCCUUGUACUUUACAAGAUAUCUGUGCUGGACAUGCUCACAGGCAUGUCCCAGUUCUCCACUGCUUUUACCUGUUUAAAAAAGGUUUAAGUUAUUAGCCAAUUGGGUUUUAGUUUAGAUUAUUAGUCUGGCUCCAGCCAGUGGAGAUCAGACACAGCAGUAAGGACAACCCCAAAUCCAUAAGGGAUCAAUUUGUCUGUUUUCCUUUGUUCAUUGUACUCCCCUUCCUGCAGUCCAGAAAGUAGAAUUUGCAUUGCUGAAAGAUCCUUUGUCUCAGUGCUGAUUUUUCUUUGCAGCACCGAGCAUCUAUUUCCAACACUUUAUCAUCACUGUGGAAGCCUCAGGCCGUGUGCACUGGGUAUGGUUUUGGAAGUGGUGGAGCCAGACAGCCAUUCUUGGGCUCUGGGUUCACCCCAGCUCGUUGGGACUCUUGGACAUUAGGAAUCCCUAGAAGACAGCCUAGUCAUUGAGAUGGAGUUUCAAGAGCUUACCACACUCCCAGCUUUGUGUGAUCUUGACAAGUCCACCCUCUCUGAUCUCCAGUUUUUUUUUAAUCUCUAAAGUGUGGGGCAUUUCUUUAUUCCAUAAGGAAGAACAACAGGCAGUUUUGAUGGAGUGAGAGAUUGGCUGGAGGUGGAAGAAGACAAGGAAUAUUGCUGAAAUGGUUUUCAAAUUGAUGGAGGGGGAUGUCCAUGGAUGAAUCACAAAGGAAGGGAAUGGGUGCAGAGGCCUCACUGAGAUCCAGUGACAGCAGGAGCUGCCAGGAUCCGAGCUGGACCAGAUUUGACUGAAGUUUAGGGGAGCCUACAUGACGGCAUUUUCCAUUGGCAUAACUCCGUACAUGGACAACAGCAAGGGACUCAAAAUUAGUUUGGCAGAAGUUCAAAAUUAUGCUACAAAACUCAAGAAGUGGCUAAAAUAUCAAAUAUCCUUUUUUUUGAGAUGGAGUCUUGCUCUGUCACCCAGGCUGGAGUACUGUGGUGUGAUCUCAGCUCACUGCAACCUUGGCCUCCCGAGUUCAAGCGAUUCUCCUGCCUUAGCCUCCCAAGUAGCUGGAAUUACAGGCACCUGCCACCAUGCCCAGCUAAUUUUUGCUUUUUAGUAGAGACAGGGUUUCACCAUGUUGCCCAGGCUAACCUCCAACUCCCGCCUCAGCCUCCCUAAAUACUGGGAUUACAGGCAUGAGCCACCACACCUGGCCAACUAUCAAAUUUUUAAAAGGACAAAAUCAGUGAGAAACCUUUUAGAAAUAUGAUUCUAGAAAAUAAAGGAUGGGAGGAGUAGCACAGAAGCUCUGUGGAGAGGUGAGCCCUGGGAAGACAGUUGAAGACUCUAUGAUCAACAAGCACCUGAGCCCAAAAAGACAGUCUUGGUUCCCCAGGUCCUGAGACAAAGCAGGAGGAAAUCUGGGCACAGAGAUACAGCUCUCUAGGCCCUAUGCUCCUUCCGAUCUCUUCCCCAAAUCCUACAGAUAGGACUCUAGUAGAGUAUACCUGGGGCAACCAGGGGGCCGUGAGGCCUGAGGAGCCAGGAUAGAGCUGGCUGCUUCAAAAGAUGAGAAGCCAUGGGGAUGAGGAAAGUGGAAGGACAGUGUGCCUCAGUGUCCAGUCAAAAGUCAGGAUUCCUGACCUGUGGUAAGUAAAGAAUAUCAGUUACCAGCAGGCCCAGGAGCCCCAAGUUAUAUUAGGACCUCAAGAGGAGAGGAAUUCAUUCAACUCAUACAGGUAUGUGAUGGCAAAAAACCAUGGCUGGGCUCAAGGCUUUAAAGUCUUCUAUGAGAUUCUUCAUGGAGCAACACUCCAUCAAAGCCAAUAUAAAAAGGAGCCGAUUUAGCAAAUAAUUCUUCUUGCUGUGCUUUAUGCAAACAAUCAGGCCAAGUAUUAUAAGACUAAAGCUUAUUUUGCAAACAGAUCAGUCCUUUCAUGGUUUGUUUUUAAUAAAAAUGAAAAUUAGAGAGAUAAAAGGUAUGUUUUAAGAACUAUCGUACACCUGUUAUUUGAUUCUAGUCUCAUUAUCUGUUUUGGGGGUUUCUCUCUGCAGUUUACACUGAUCCUGCUUAUUUCUGUGAACCGACCAGUGACCUCUGGCUACAGCUCAGAGGAAAUAAGAGGCAUAGGUAAUGUAAAAAUCGGGAUCAAUAUUCUAAUUCUGGGCGCAUAUUGGAAUCAGCUGGCAAUAUCAUGCACCCAUGUCUUAACAGGUACGAUAAUAGCCAUGAGCCACCUGGGCGCAUUGGCAGCCUCAGGGUUUUUUGAAGCUGUCCUCACCCCCUUAUUUCAUUUGGACAACUCUACUUGUGUUAAAACCCCAGGAACCAUCUGUAUUUGCGGCCAAUCAGUUCACCGAUGCUUCCCCUCUAACUGGAUUGAAACUUGUACCAUAGACUGUGUAUACCCGGACAUCUCCGUGGUUCCUGGAAAUCUCUCUCUUCCAGCAUCACUCUACAGGCAUCCUAUCUUGCCCAAGGUGAAGAGGGCCAUCCAGUUAAUUCCACUUCCUAUGGGACGUGGUGUUAUAGCCUGUGUGGAAACCAGAAUUGCUGGAAUCAAAAAGUCUUCUUGAUCUAUAACCAACUCUCAAAGGAAACAGCCAACAACAUCGAGGCCACGGCUAAAAACCUUAACGGUGUAAGAACAAAUGGACUCUUCGGCAGCUGUAUCCUCCGAAAUCCCCAAGGACUAGCUAUGUUAAUGGCAGCACAGGUUGGAAUUUGCUUAGCCUUAGAUAGCAAAAGUUGCAUUUGGGUAAAUGAAUUGGGAAAAGUACAAGAUAACAACAGACAAUUCCUAAAUUGAGCCUCUGCUUGAUGGAAACAAGCCUCUCAGGUUUGAUGAGGAAGAAACAUGGAAAUGGUUCUCUGGGUUUUUUUCCCUUUUUAGAUCCACUUGUUAAUCUCCUACUUUUGCUCCUUUUUGGUCCGUGUCUUCCAACUCUAAUCGACUGAUUUGUCUCCUCUCACCUUCAGGCUGCCAAGCUCCAGAUGAUCCCCAGUGAGGGAUACCAUUCUCUCAAUGUUCAAGAGUCACCCUUCUACAGAAGAGCCCUAGACUGCCCAUCGGUGGGACACAGCAGAGGUGAAUUCCCUGUCUCUGUUAUACCUGGCUGGAUACUAUUUUAUUUAUUUAUUUAUUUUUGAGAUGGAGUCUUGCUCUGUUGCCCUGGCUGAAGUACUGUCAUGCCAUCUCAGCACACGGCAACCUCUGCCUCCCGGGUUCAAGUAAUCCUUUGCCUCAGCCUCCUGAGUAGCUGGGAUUACAGGUGCCUGCCACCACACCUGGCUAAUUUUUGUAUUUUCUUUUUUUGAGACAGAGUCUUGUUCUGUUGCCCAGGCCGGAGUGCCUGGGGGGGAUUGGUCAGAGUGAUGGGAAAAACUAUAGGGAAAGGACACAAACCUUCUGAAAGGUCAGAAGCAUUUGCAGAGUCCCGGGGCAGGUGUUCUAUAAACUGAGGCAGAGGGCAGAAAGUAGGUAGAAGGAAGUGUAGGGGAAUUUAUCUUAAACAGGUUUGUUUACUUAUAUUGGCCAGGAACUGACCAUUGAUCAUCUGCCCACCUGGCGUUCCCUGAAAGGGGAACAAUAAAUGUUAAUUACCUGCAGGUUGUGUUUGCUCCAGGUUUUCAGCAUUGUGCCUGCACUGAAUAAAAGCAAACAGCUUCAGCUUUUCUGGCCACUAGAGUGAGGCAGUCGCCUAGCUGCCCUUACGCUGCAUACCUGUGUGUGAGUACUCAUUGCAUUUGUUGGUCGGCCAGGGUUUGUGGGACACACCCAGCAGGUGGUCACCUGUGUGAGAAACGCUGCAAUGGAUCGCGACGGAGCCCUCAAAAAUGAAAGUGAAGUGACUGCCUGAUGGAGUCUCGCUCUGUCACCCACACUGGAGUGCAGUGAUGCUAUCUCAGCUCACUGUAACCUCGGCCUCCUGGGUUCAAGCAAUUCUCCUGCUUCAGCCUCCUGAGUAGCUAGGACUACAGGAACAGGAGCUCUAGGCUCUUUCUGACCAAGGGAAUCGAUAGAGCCAGGAAACAGCCAGUCAGCAUCUUGGGCAAAGGCCUAGGCGCUCUGUGAUUACCGUCACCAAUGAAGGACACAGCCUCAACACAAGUGAGCAGUCCCCACCUCCCACCAUGACCAUGACGGGUUCUCCUGAGUGUCAACAUCUACCUCACCACCCUGUAGCUCCACAUUAUGUGGGUCUGGGGAUCAGUUGUAACAGCUUUUCUUGUGAGAUAUGGUUUAUCUUCAAGACACAUUUGUACUAUCUAUAUGAAACUAGGGUACAAAGAAUAAGCUAUAUUUUUAUUUUUAUUUUUUAGACAGAGUCUCGCUCUGUCACUCAGGCUGGAGUGCAGUGGUGCCAUCUCGGCUCACUGCAACCUCCACCUCCUGGGUUCCAGCAAUUCUCCUGCCUCAGCGUCCUAAGUACCUCGGACUACAGGCAUGUGACGCCUACCAAAUAUUUUGUAUUUUUAGAAGAGAGGGGGUUUUACUUUGUUGGUCAGGCUGGUCUCAAACUCCUGACCUCAGGUGAUCCAACCGCCUUGCCUCCCAAAAUGCUGGGAUUACAGGUGUGAACCAUUGUGGCAGGCCUUUAAAAAAAUAAAAUAAAAUAAAUAAGGCCUUUUCUUUUCCUUUCUUUUUUUUUUUUUUUUUGAGACAAGUUUCAUUCUUGUCCAGGCUGGAGUGCAAUGGCAUGAUCUCAGUUCACUGCAACCUCUGCCUCUUGGGUUCACACAAUUCUCCUGCCUCAGCCUCUCCAGUAGCUGGGAUCAUAGGCACCUCCCCCACACCCAGCUAAUUUUUUGUAUUUUUAGUAGAGAGGGGUUUCACUGUGUUGGCCAGCCUGGUCUCAAACUCCUGACCUCAGGUGAUCCACCCACUUUGGCCUCUCAAGGUGCUGGGAUUACAGGUGUGAGCCACUGUACUACUGGGCAUGUAGAUUUGUUUCUAUUUUCUAGUUUUGCAAAUGGAUUCACAUGGUAUGAACUCCUUAUAUAUCUUGCUUCCCUUUUAUUUGUUUUUAGAGACAGAGUCGCUCUGUCACCAGGCUGGAGUGCAGUGAUGUGAUCUUGGCUAACUGCAACUCCACCUCCUGGGUUUAAGCAAUUCUCUUGCCUCAGCCUCCGAAACAGCCAGGAUUAUUGACACACGCCACAAUGGCCUGCUAAUUUUUUGUAUUUUUUUUUUUUUUUUAGUAGAGACAGGGUUUCACCAUGUUAGCCAGGCUGGUCUCGAACUCCUGACCUCAGGCAACCUGCCCACCUUGACCUCCCAAAGUGCUGGGAUUAUAAGCGUGAGCCACUGCACUGCUUAUAAAAAAAAAAAGGCCUCCUCCUACCUUUUUAUUUUUUGAAAUGCAGUCUCACUUUCAGGCUGGAGCACAGUGGUAUGAUCUUGGCUCACUGCAACCUCCGUCUCCCAGGUUUAAGUGAUCCUCCUGCCUCAACGUCCCAAGUAGCUGGGAUUACAGGCACACAUCACCAUGCCUAGCCAAUUUUUGUAGUAGAGAUGGGGUUUUGCCAUGUUGGCCAGGCUGGUCUUGAACUCCUGACCUCAGGUAAUCUGCCCUCCUAGGUCUCCCAAAGUGCUGGAAGUGCUGGGAUUACUACAGGUGUGAGCCACUGCACCUGGCCUAUCUUGCUUCUUAUACUCAGUAAAAUUAUUUUUUGAGAUUCACUCUUGUUCUAUUAAGUGGCUUUUUAUUGAGGAAAUGUAUCCUAUUGUAUGUAUAUGUCUAUACAUAGGAUACAUACAUAUAUAUAUAUGUACAGUUUUUUCUUUUCUUUUUUUUUGAGAUGGUUUCACUCUGUCGCUCAGGCUAGAAUGCAGUGGUGAGACCACAGCUCACUGCAGCCUCAAUCUCCUUGGCUCAAGGCAUCCUCCUACUUCAGCCAGCUGAGUAGUUGGGACCACAGGAGCACCACACUUAGCUAAUUGUUUUUAAUCUGUCCAGCCAUCCUUUUUUUUUUUUUUUUUUUUUUUUGAGACAGGGUCUCCCUUCAUCUCCCAGGCUUGAGUGCAGUGGCACAAUCAUGGCUCACUGCAGCCCUGAGCUCCCGGGUUCAAGUGAUCCUCCCUCCUCAGCCUCCUGAGUAGUUGGGACUACAGGCACACACACCUGGCUUAGCUAAUUUUUUGUGUUUUAUUGGUCGAGACACAGUUGCGCCAUGUUGCCCAGGCUGGUCUUGAACCCCUGAGCUCAAGUGAUCCAUCUGCCCCAGCCUUCCAAAGUGCUGGGCUUACAGGUGUAAGCCAUUGUGUCUGCACCCAUCAUUUUUUCAAUCCAUUCACCUCUUGGUGGACAUUUAGCUUCUUUACAUUUGGGGUGUUACAUGGCUGACAUAAACAGCCAUGUACCUGUCUUUAUGCAAACAAAAGCUUUCAUUUCUGGUGGGUAAACAACUUAGAAUGGCCAGUCAUAUGGUAUAUUUUUUAAUUUUUGGGACAGGAUCUAGACCGUCACCUAGAUUGGAAUACAGGAGCAUGAUGACAGCUCACUGCAGCGUCAACCUCCAGAGCUCAAUCAAUCCUCCCACCUCAGCCUCCCAAGUAGCGGGGACUACAGACAUGUGCCACUCUGUCGGCUAAUUAAAAAAAAAAUGGUUUUUGUAGAGAUAAGAUCUCUGCAAAAGAACACUCAAAAGACAAUAGGCAGCUGGGUGCAGUGGCUCAUGCCUGUAAUCCCAGCACUUUGGGAGGUCAAGGUGGGCAGAUCACCUGAUGUUAGGAGUUUGAGACCGGCCUUGCCAACAUGAUGAAACCCCGUCUCUACUAAAAAUACAAAAAUUAGCUGGGCGAGGUGGCACAUGCCUGUAAUUCCAGCUACUUGGGAAGCUGAGGUAGGAGAAUUGCUUGAAUCUGGGAGGUGGAGGUUGCAGUGAGCUGAGAUCUUGUAUUCCAGCCUGGGCAAUAAAGCAAAACUCUGUCUCAAAAAAAACAACAAAAAAAAAAGAGUUUAGGCAACAUAACCUGUUUAUGUUGCCCAGGCUGGUAUCCCAAGAAAGUUUUUGACAGUUCCUUAAGAACUAGAACCAGCACCCAAUAUGGGAGCACCCAGAUACAUAAGACAAGUUCUUAAUGACUUAUAAAGAGACUUGGACUCCCGCACAAUAAUAGCGGGAGACUUUGCCACCACAUUGUUAAUAUUCGAUGGAUCGAUGAGAUAGAAAAUUAACAGGAACAUCUAUGAUUUGAACUCAGACCUGGAACAAGUAAACUCAGUGAAUAUUUAUAGAAUUCUUCACCCCAGGUCCACAGAACAUACAUUUUUCUCAGUAUCACAUUACACCUAUUUUGAAAGUGACCACAUAAUUGGAAGUAAAUCACUCUUCAGCAUUUGCAUAGCAUUUCAGACUUAAAUGAAAUAUUGGCUGGCUGUUUGUUAUUUUCUUUCCUUAUUCCUUUCUGUCUCCGCUGUUAAGCACAAUUAUCUGCAUAAAAGAGGUUUUUAAUACCUAUUUUUAGAUUGUAUUCCAGCCUGGGCAAUAGAGCAAGACUCCUGUUCUCUCUCCCCCUUUCUCUCUUUCUUUCUUUCAAAAAAAAGAACUAGAACCAGCAAUAAAGACAAAAAUUAACCAUUGGAAGUCACCAUUGACUAACCCAAUGAAGAUGAUACUGUCCCUUCUCCAAUCAUCGGUCACUAUUAGAGGGGCAACAAGACUCCCAGUGCCAGGGAGAUGUGGGAAAAGAGAAAGUCAGGUUUUUCACCAACCUGAUGCCUAAAAACAAAACAAAAAAACAAUGAAAUGAGAAAGUCCUGGAUGGGCUGUAAUGAAGUAUCUUGGCAGAAGUAUGAAGCCAAGAAAGACCGGCAUAGAGAAGGUGAAUAAGUCCCCAUGGCUGGGCCAUGAAAUCAGGGAGCAAAGAGGUGAGAGAGACGCUGAGAAGGCUGUGAGAUGCUAGAAAUUUCAGGAAGCAGGUUCAGAACAUGAGUGACUGAGUCGAAGCCUUUUGGACAACUAGCUUCUUUGCGCUCCUGGGUGUUGAGUAUAAACUUUUUCUGUGAGUGUGGGAUCUGUCUACUUAACGGAUCAAGUGGCAUAGAUAUAACCCCAUGCCAAACAUUCAAAAGACAAAAGGCAAGUGUGUGCAGAAACACUGUAAGAGGUUGCUCUGACCAUGGCACUUGGGACAUAAAAGUAUUCAUGCUGGCCAGGCGCUCAUGCCUGUAAUCCCAGGACUUUGGGAGGCUGAGGCGGGCAUAUCAUUUGAGGUCAGGAGUCCAUGACCAACCUGGCCAAUAUGGUGAAACCCUAUCUCUAUUAAAAAUAUAAAAAUUAGCCAGGUGUGGUGGUGCACAUCUAUAAUCUCAGCUACCUGGGAGACUGAGGCAGAAUUGCUUGAACCUGGGAGGCGGACGGUGCAGUGAGCUGAGAUGGCACCACUGCACUCCAGUCAGGGUGACAGAGCAAGACUCUGUUAAAAAAAAAAAAAGGAAAAGAAAAGAAAAAAAAAGUAUUCAUGCCAUAAAAAGCACUGUCUCAUUUUUUUUUUUCUUCAGAGUUUCACUCUGUUGCCUAGGCUGCAACAGUGCAGUGGCACCAUCUCGGCUCACUGCAAUCUCUGCCUUCUGGAUUCAAGUGAUUUUUACAUGCCUCAGCCUCCUGAGUAGCUGGGACUACAGGCACAUGCCACCACACCUGGCUAAUUUUUGUAUUUUUAGUAUAGACAGGGUUUAACCAAGUUAGCCAGGCUAGUCUUGAACUCCUGACCUCAGGUCAUCCACCCAUCUCGGCCUCCCAAAGUGCUGGGAUUACAGGCGUAAGCCACCGCGCCCCACCUCAUUAUUCUUUAUAUCCUAGACUCAGGCCACCUGGGUCACAAGGUAGACAACUGUCAAGUGAACAGUGGUUAGCUACUUUGGGAGUUUAGAGAGGGAGGGAAGGAAGGGCAUCGUGCUACGGGCUGGAGUAUUCAUAAAAGAUGUCAAGUUCAUUGACCUGGUCUUGCAAGAAAGAGAGGUGAAGUCAUAGAAAAAUAGUGAAAGUGAAGUACAAGUGUGCAUCCUGGAGUAGUGAGCAUUAGAAUGGGACAGGAGAGGAAGCUGGGACUCAGGAUGCUGGGAGACAAGCUGGGGAAGCAACUGGGAAGCAGAACAGGCAUAAGGACACAACCAUGCCAGCCAUGCCAUCCAUAAGGCAGCAGCAGCAGCACCGGCUGGGCUCCUGUUUGGUUACCUGAGAUAUGGUCUACUACUUGUUAAUUUAUCCCCAAACCAAGUCAGAUUAGAACCUACUUGAAAAAAUGCUUUCUGUUAAGUGCAUAAGUCGUCUGACAUGCAUAAAGAAAAUGCAAGUUGCUGGACUGCAGGCAGAGUAUGUAAAAUCAUAUUUGAGUAUUUGUGUGCUUAUAGAUGUAUUAUGCACACAUGGCUGUAAAGAUACAAGUUCUAUCGGUCACGUUUAUUUAUUUUUAUUUUUCAGAUGGAGUCUCGCUCUUUCACCCAGGUUGGCAGGUUGGAGUGCAGCGAUCUCGGCUCACUGCAACCUCUGCCUCCUGGGUUCAAGUGAUUCUUGCCUCAGCACCCCGAGUAGCUGGGAUUACAAGCACCUGCCACCACACUCAGCUAAUUUUUUCAUAUUUUUAGUAGCGCGGGUGUUUCACCAUAUUGGCCAGGCUGGUCAUGAACUCCUGACCUCAAGUGAUCCACCUGACCCAGCCUCCCAAAAUGCAGGGAUUACAGGCAUGAGUCACCGUGCCCAGCUUAUCAGCCAAGUUUUUUUGGGUGUAAGCAACAGAAUUUACCUCUAAUAUUUGAAGAAAAUAAUUUGCUAGAGGGAUGUGAAGGGUCUCAGAAUUGAAACUCAAUGAGGUCAGAACAAACAGGAAUCGGAAAUCCAGUGGAUCUUACUGCACAAAUGGCUUGAGUCAUUCUGUUAUGAAAAGUCUAAGCACUUGCUCUGUCCUCUGGUGGUUCUGAUUAAGAUGCGGUCUGGAUCCACAAGAGUCCAGUUUGUUUGGCUUUGUUAAUAAACCCAGUCUUCGGUUGGAGGAAGCGGGGAAUGGCUGGGACUAAAGGUGCACACCAUGCCUGGCUAAUUUUAAAACAUGCGUUUUGUAGAGAUGGGGAUCUUAGUAUGUUGCCCAUGCUGAUCUCAAUCUCCAGCUUAAGUGAUUCUCCCUCCUCAGCCUCCUGACCCAGCCACACAUCACAUCCUUAAUUUUGGUCCCCUGUGGAAAGGAGAAACCUACCCCAUACUCUCCUGGAAUGGCAGGGAUUUUUAAUACUGUAUGAGUAGGGUUUAAUGAGUUCAUGCCAAAGGGGAAAAAAACAAUCUUUGCUCCAAACACACAGGAAAACUGGACAAACUAAAUAAUGAUAAAAAACAGACUGAAGUAGAACACAAAAACCUCCUGGAAUCAGAAAUAAAAAGAAAGCUAUCUGGUAAGUCUGGGAUGGAGUACAGUGUCCCUAGCGUCCUUCUGGACUUUAAGUACCAGAUACAACCAUAGAGCUGGGUUUAGAUGGAGGUUUCCGAGCCACUAGGAGAGGUAACCGUAAGACCACCAGAAGGUUGGAAGAGGGGAAAAACAGACAAAAAUGUAAUCCUGGCCAGGUGCAGUGGCUCACGCCUCCCAGCACUUUGGGAGGCUGAGGCGGGUGGAUCACUUGAGGUCAGGAGUUUGAGACCAGUCUGACCAACAUGAUGAAACCUCAUCUCUGCUAAAAAUACAAAAAUUAGCCGGACAUUGUGUGGUGGGUUCCUGUAAUCCCAGCUACUCAGGAGGCUGAGUCAGGAGAACUGCUUGAACUUGGGAGGCAGGUGGAGGUUGCAAGGAGCCGAGAUCACGCCACUGCCCUCCAGCUUGGGCAACAGAACAAGAUUCUAUCCCCCCCAUCACCAAAAAAGAAAGAAAGAAAAGAAAAAGAAAGCUUCACAAUCUGAAACAUUUUGAGUGCUAACACUAACAUGAUGCUCAAAGGCGAUGUGCAUUGGAACCGUUUGGAUUUGAGAUUCGGGAUGCUCAACCAGUAAGCACAUAAUGCAAACGUUCACAACUCCAGGAAAAAAAUCUGAAAUCUGGACAUUUCUUGCCCCAAGUAUUUCAGAUAAGGGAGGCUCAAUCUGUAUUUAAAAUGCAGUAAACAGAGGUGGGAGGAUCCUUUGAGCCCAGGAGGUGAAGGCUGCUGUUAGCUGUGUUCAUGCCACUGCACCAUUCCAGUGUGCCUGGCAGAAAUAACAAAAUAAGAACAGGUAAAAGCAAAGCCGUUCUGGUUGACGUGGAGGUGGCAGGACUGAUCCGCUAUUAAAGGAGCAUUAAAGGAGUGUGGUUUGGUGACUUUCCUUCUUCUGCUUUUUUGGACAACUAUAAUCUUGUAUUUCUAAAAAACAUACUGCUUCAAGCAAAUAAGAAGCACCUUAAAGACAAACUGCUUUGUUUUCCUCUGGAUUACCCACACUAUCAGUAAAUAUUUUAGUUAUGCUAUAAGGAGUUACAAUAAGAAAGCUCCAUUCAAUCAGUUUAGAAACUAAAAAAUAAAGUGUAUACUUUGGUAAAUAGUCCCAUUAUUAUAGAAACACCAGCUCUAAGGAGUAUAGAGCUUUUCUUUUUUUAGAGGCAAAGUCUCACUCUAUCGCCCAGGCUGGAGUGCAGUGGCACAAUCUCAGCUUGCUGCAGCCUCGACCUUCCAAGCUCAAACAAUCUUCCCACCUCAACCUCCCAAUAGCUGGGACCACAGGCCCACAACAGCACACUGGCCUAAUUUUUGUCUUUUUUGUAGAGACAGGGUUCCACCAUGCUGCCCAGGCUGCUCUCAAUCUCUGGGUCUUAAGUGAUCCAUCUACCUCAGCCUCCCAAAAUGCUGGGACUGCAGGUAUGAACCAGUGUCCCGCCUAGUUUUUUUUCAUAAAAGUUAUUUCACUUCCAUUUAAAUAUUUCUCCAUGAUCAAGGUGAAAGUCUAAUAUUUCAUUGUUAUAGAACCAGGAUUGUCUUAACACUGCAGUAGAGUCAACUCAAGAUGCAAGAAAAAGUAUAAAAUGCGUCCAAAUUAAGUGGAAUUUUAAAAACCAAAGGGCAAUAAUAAGAUUGUAGAAACAUUGUUCAAUAAUACUAAAAGCUAGUUUAGAAAAAAAAAUGUAGAGAUCUUUGACACUCUAAUCAAGGUGAAUGCAGAAUAAAAAGUGGCCAUGCCUAGGGAAAUACAUACAUAUACAUAUAUAAAAUUAAAUACAAUGUAGAGCUUUAUAUACAUUCAUUUUUUGAGAUGGAGUCUUGCUCUGUUGCCCAGGCUGGACUGUAGUGGAAUGAUCUUGGCUCACUGCGACCUCCACCUUCCAGGUUCAAGUGAUUCUCCUGCCUCAGCCUCCCAAGUAACUGGGAUUAUAGGUACCCGCCACCAUGCCCAGCUAAUUUUGAAUUUUUAGUAGAGAUGUGGUUUCACGAUGUUGGCUGGGCUAACCUUGAACUCCUGAUCUCAGGUGAUCCACCAGCCUCAGCCUCCCAAAGUCCUGGGAUUACAGGCAUGAGCCACUGCACCCAGCCCCUGCUAUAUUCUUAAUAUAGCAAAUUAGUCCAAGCAUACUCUCAAGCAUACUCUUCUGGCAUUUGUGAAGUAUCAAGUUAUUUAAAAAUAUUUGGAAAAAUUUUAAAAGAUUGAAGAAAACAAGCUAUCCUAUCACACAUAACAUUGUUAUACUAAUCGCAUAGAUGACUCCCAGGUAUCACACACUAAGACAGAACUUGGGAGGAGGUGGGACGGGAGCAGGUUUGGUAGCAGAAGGAAGGAAGAGCUCUGUUGAGGUAUUUUAAGUGUGAGAUGCUCAUUAGACCUUAAAGUGGAGAUGAGGACACAGCUGGAUGUAUGAAUCUAGAACUUACGGGAGAGGUCUGGUCAGCAGAGAGACAUUUAAACCUAUGGGAUGCCACCCAACUUUUGCUGAGAUUUUGUUGCUUUCUUCCUGUUAAGUAGUCUGACUUUGCAAGUUUAAGCUUCAGAAGUUCACCCAUCCUAUCCAGAUUUCUGUUUUCAUGUUUAGGUAAAUUUAGUAGAGGACUAGAUAGAUGGAUUCUCCUGCCUCAGCCUCCUGAGUAGCUAGGAUUACAAGCGCCCACCACCAUGCUUGGCUAAUUUUUUAUAUUUUUUAGUAGAGAUGGGGUUUCACUAUUUUGGCCAGGCUGGUGUCAAACUCAUGACCUUGUGAUCCGCCUGUCUCGGCCUCCCAAAGUGCUGGGAUUACAGCCGUGAGUCACCACCCUGAACAUUUCCUCAUUAUUUUUAAACACUUGCCUGUCAUGUCAUUUCCCUUAUUAAAAAUCAUUAACUUUUCUCUCUUAUCUGAUGCUAAGCUUCUCUCUGGCAUUUCACAAUAUAUUCCCCAUUGUCAAGAUGGCUCCUUCAUUCCCCCUGAACACACCAUGAAUAUGACCCUGGCCUCUGACUUUAUGUAGACUAUGACCCAACUCCUCAAUCUGUAAGAGCUUGAGAGCUCCAUGAUGUCUCCAACUGUUCCAGCCCAUCAUCUCCCCUCAUCUCCACAUACAUCUGCAUGGUAGUCUUAUUCAUCUGCUCUCUUGCAUCUUAAAAAUCUCAAACCCCCAUCUCAAAUUUUACAAGCCCACUAAGAAGUCAUAUUGGAAUGAUUUUCCAAACAUGAAUGCCAAAAUCAUGCAUUAUUUCUAAUACAAAUACGUUAUUUUCUACCCCCAAAAUACAUGAUCCAAAACUAAAAUGCAAAGGAAUAAAUCAAUUGUAUCCAAAUCUAAAUUAAGAGGACUCCAUUAUCAACCUAGAGUACUAAGCCAGUAAUACUGUGAAAGACAGAAUUUAGUCAGAGGCAUAGAGAGCGAGCCUCGGCAGAAAGGGCGAUGAGUGUCCACCAGGACUAAUGAAAUGACCGCCUUCAGCCCACACAGUUCCUAUCCAAGGCUGUACCUUUUUCACUACCAGUGAAACUACCACCAACUGUGGGAUUUAGGUACACUGUCCCAGGAAGAGGCAACGAGACCUGGGGAAAACUGUACCUUAUCUUCCACUUAAAUGGAAUUAACUAUCCCUGUAUUUCUCCCAAGUCUGCAUGGAACAAAAACCUGGUUUUAGCAUAAUCCAACAAAUAUGAGACUCCAAGCAACCAGGACAGAGUGAGAACUCCAUGUGUAAACAUGCAAACACAUACACACAUGCACAUGUGAGAGCACACACACUCCAGACAAUAUGGCCAAGCAUGCCAUACAAGACUACAUGUUUAUUGUGAAACAAUCUGAGUUAGGAAACUAGGAUUGUUGCCACCACCAUUUAUUUAUCUAGUUCAUAGCUAAGGAUAGAACACUGUAGCUGUGCUGGAGAUGCAAAGAGGUCCCUGCCCUUAAGGGGCUUACAAUCUUACGGGCGAAUGUAACAGGCACAUAAGAAGCUGGACUACAAGAAAGCAUGAGCUAACAAAUGCCAGACUUCGGAAGGCAGCGUAGUUUGAGAACAUAGGAUUAAGAGUGACAAAACCCACAUCCUAGUCCCAACCCAGUAUGUCACUUAAACUCUCUGGGUUUUUUUUGUUUGUUUUUUUACUCCAGCUAUAACAUUAAAUAGUAAGACCGAGAGGCUGUCUGCGUGUUUCCAUCAUGAUUCAGAUCAAAAGCUGGAGGUGGCGGCACCUGAGCGGGACACUGAAGGAAGGCCAAGGAGGUGUUUCAGACAAGGAAAGCGGUACUGAGGUAGCUGUAAGCUUGGAGUUUGGCGGGGAGAAGACAGACAAGUGUCACAAGGAGCAACGGCAGAGAGGUGGGUGGGUGGCAGGAGUAA
This is a long non-coding RNA of Callithrix jacchus (white-tufted-ear marmoset), 29715 nucleotides long. RefSeq lists it as uncharacterized. The record is from RefSeq and is a predicted model, not a curated record. Lineage: Eukaryota; Metazoa; Chordata; Mammalia; Primates; Cebidae.